GACGAACGCUGGCGGCGUGCUUAACACAUGCAAGUCGAGCGAGGCUCCUCCUUCGGGAGGAUGCCCUAGCGGCGAACGGGUGAGUAACACGUGGGCAACCUGCCCCUAGCACUGGGAUAACCCCGGGAACCGGGGCUAAUACCGGACUACGACUCCAGAAGGCAUCUUCCGGAGUGGAAAAGUUUACUGGCUAGGGAUGGGCCCGCGGCCUAUCAGCUUGUUGGUGGGGUAACGGCCCACCAAGGCGACGACGGGGAGCCGGCCUGAGAGGGCGACCGGCCACACUGGGACUGAGACACGGCCCA
RNAcentral lists this ribosomal RNA (305 nucleotides) under uncultured bacterium. Its description in RNAcentral is "bacterial SSU rRNA". It matches the Rfam family "Bacterial small subunit ribosomal RNA", at positions 28 to 333 of the family's 1533-position model. The record is from RNAcentral.